This 213-nucleotide small nuclear RNA is filed under the name Dictyostelium purpureum. Its description in RNAcentral is "U2 spliceosomal RNA". It matches the Rfam family "U2 spliceosomal RNA". From Rfam's summary of the family: U2 is a small nuclear RNA (snRNA) component of the spliceosome (involved in pre-mRNA splicing). Lineage: Eukaryota; Evosea; Eumycetozoa; Dictyosteliales; Dictyosteliaceae. The record is from Rfam by way of RNAcentral.
UCUUCUUAAAAGCCCUGGCUUUGAUCAUGUGUAGUAUCUGUUCUAGAAAGCUUAAUCUCUUUCUGAUAUCCCAAGAGGAUGUCAUUAUUCGAUUAAACUAAUUUAUUUAUAGAGGGUAAGGGAACAUUUAUAAUUAGUGCAAGUCAUUAAUUGGUUUUCUUCAUACAUUUGCUCUGUAUUGCACCAAAUCAGAGAUUUUAAAGUGUACCUCUU